ACGUCCCUGCCCUUUGUACACACCGCCCGUCGCUACUACCGAUUGAAUGGCUUGGUGAGACUCUCGGAUUAGGUUUUGGGGAUCGGCAACGGUUCCUUUUUCUUGAGAAGUUUGUCAAACUUGGUCAUUUAGAGGAAGUAAAAGUCGUAACAAGGUUUCCGUAGGUGAACCUGCGGAAGGAUCAUUAGAAUACUGGGAAUUUAUUUUCCUGAUACUUUAUUCAAAAAAUUUUUAACCUAAAAAAAAAUACAAUUUUUUUAAAAAUAUAAAACUUAAAUAAAGAUAACUUUCAACAACGGAUCUCUUGGCUCUUGCAUCGAUGAAGAACGCAGCGAAAUGCGAUAAGUAAUGUGAAUUGCAGAAUUCCGUGAAUCAUCAAAUCUUUGAACGCAAAUUGCACUUCUUGGUAUUCCGAGAAGUAUACUUGCUUGAGGGUUGGUCUACAAAAUAAAUCGUGGAAAAUUUGAUUUUUCGCGGAUCUGGGUUUUUCCAAAAUAUUGGUAACCUUAAAUUUAUCUUAACAAUCAUUAGGCAUUGAUAUUAGAAAUGUUCAUCUUACGCAUUGGUAAUUACGCAUUGAUAAUUAUACCUAUUGUUACAUCGCGUUAUUCAUCUGGUAUCCUUUAUUAGGUGUAUUAACUCAAUCUUUUUAAUCCGACCUCAAGUCAAGUAAGAAUACCCGCUGAACUUAAGCAUAUCAAUAAGCGGAGGAAAAGAAACUAACUAGGAUUCCCUUAGUAACGGCGAGUGAACCGGGAAGAGCUCAAAUUUUAAAUCACCUUGGUGAAUUGUAAUUUGAAGAAAGUGUUUUGACUUUUCAGUUUAAUCCAAAUCCUUUGGGAUGAGGUAUCACAGAGGGUGAGAAUCCCGUUCGUGAUUAGACAUCGGAAUGCAUUAAUUCACUUUCUAAGAGUCGAGUUGUUUGGGAUUGCAGCUCAAAAUGGGUGGUAAAUUUCACCUAAGGCUAAAUAUAUGCGAGAGACCGAUAGCGAACAAGUACCGUGAGGGAAAGAUGAAAAGAACUUUGAAAAGAGAGUUAAACAGUACGUGAAAUUGUUGAAAGGGAAACGAUUGAAGUCAGUCAUGCUAGUGAGAAAUCAACUUGUGUGGAGCGAGUUUUUUCUCAAUCUUCCUUGUGUACUUUCUUGCUUGGCAGGUUAGCAUCAAUUUUGGUUGUCAUCAAAGAAUUGGGGAAAUGUGGCUUCUCUUCGGUGAAGUGUUAUAGACCCUGAUAGAUGUGACGACUGAGAUUGAGGAUUGCAGCGGAUGCCUUUGGGCUAGUCACCUAUCUUCUGACUGUCACCUCGCUCUUGACAGCUUGCUGAUGAUUGUGAGAUUUGUUAGUUUAGAAUUUAGAUUGAACAUAAAUUCGCUAAGGAUGCUGACGUAAUGGCUUUAAACGACCCGUCUUGAAACACGG
This 1420-nucleotide ribosomal RNA is filed under the name uncultured Acaulosporaceae. RNAcentral describes it as "eukaryotic LSU rRNA". The stretch from base 656 to 1420 matches the Rfam family "Eukaryotic large subunit ribosomal RNA", at positions 1 to 664 of the family's 3401-position model. The record is from RNAcentral. Lineage: Eukaryota; Fungi; Glomeromycota; Glomeromycetes; Diversisporales; Acaulosporaceae.